GACGAACUGCCCAACCGUUGUUCGGAAUCACUGGGCUUAAAGGGCGCGUAGGCGGCAGAUCAAGUCAGGGGUGAAAUCCGGCAGCUCAACUGUCGAAGUGCCUUUGAUACUGAUUUGCUCGAGGGAGAUAGGGGUCUGCGGAACUUCUGGUGGAGCGGUGAAAUGCGUUGAUAUCAGAAGGAACGCCGGUGGCGAAAGCGGCGGACUGGAUCUCUUCUGACGCUGAGGCGCGAAAGCUAGGGGAGCAAACGGG
This 253-nucleotide ribosomal RNA is filed under the name uncultured bacterium. RNAcentral's name for it is "partial 16S ribosomal RNA". It matches the Rfam family "Bacterial small subunit ribosomal RNA", at positions 524 to 776 of the family's 1533-position model. The record is from RNAcentral.